AAGACUAUAGACCUGCGGAGUACCUGCGGAGGGAUCAUUAGUGAACGCCCUCACGGGCUUAUAACUAUUCCAAACCUCUGUGAACCGUGCCCUUCGGGGCUAUUUUACAAACAUGGUGUAAUGAACGUCAUAUAUCAUAACAAAACAAAACUUUUAGCAAUGGAUCUCU
Molecule: unclassified non-coding RNA, 169 nt
Filed under: soil metagenome
Description: partial contains 5.8S ribosomal RNA, internal transcribed spacer 2, and large subunit ribosomal RNA
Source: RNAcentral